RNAcentral lists this ribosomal RNA (460 nucleotides) under uncultured bacterium. Its description in RNAcentral is "partial 16S ribosomal RNA". It matches the Rfam family "Bacterial small subunit ribosomal RNA", at positions 338 to 795 of the family's 1533-position model. The record is from RNAcentral.
CCUACGGGGCGCAGCAGUGAGGAAUAUUGGUCAAUGGGCGUAAGCCUGAACCAGCCAAGUCGCGUGAGGGAUGAAGGUUCUAUGGAUCGUAAACCUCUUUUAUAAGGGAAUAAAGUGUGGGACGUGUCCUGUUUUGUAUGUACCUUAUGAAUAAGGAUCGGCUAACUCCGUGCCAGCAGCCGCGGUAAUACGGAGGAUCCGAGCGUUAUCCGGAUUUAUUGGGUUUAAAGGGGGCGUAGGCGGCCUUUUAAGUCAGCGGUGAAAGUCUGUGGCUCAACCAUAGAAUUGCCGUUGAAACUGGGAGGCUUGAGUAUGUUUGAGGCAGGCGGAAUGCGUGGUGUAGCGGUGAAAUGCUUAGAGAUCACGGAGAACCCCGAUGGCGAAGGCAGCCUGCCAAGCCAUGACUGACGCUGAUGCACGAAAGCGUGGGGAUCAAACAGGAGUAGAGACCCCAGUAGUC